Perca fluviatilis (European perch) is the source of this 1287-nucleotide long non-coding RNA. RefSeq lists it as uncharacterized. The transcript has 3 exons. The record is from RefSeq and is a predicted model, not a curated record. NCBI's taxonomy places the organism in Eukaryota, Metazoa, Chordata, Actinopteri, Perciformes, Percidae.
UAUCUGGCCCAUGAAUAUGCUGGUUAUCUUAGCUUAGCAUAAAGACUGGGAACAGGGGGGAACAGCUAGUGUGGCUCAAAAAAAUACUCCAGCCUGUACCUCUAAAGCUCACUAAUAAAUGUGAUCUCUAUUAUUUGUUUAGUCUGUAAAAAGCUGUGCCAGACUAUUUCUAUUUCUAGUCCUAGAGUCCUGUUGUAACUUUGAGGUUGCCAGGCAACAAGAAGAGGGGAUAAAACCACAAAUUGUGUUUUUUACACUUCAGUUUUUUUUAAGCAAAAAUUACAUAAAAUGUUAGUGAGCGUGUUAUGUUAUUGUGAGUAGAAAAAGCAGCAGAUAGAACUUUUACUAACAUGUAGGUAAAGUAAUGUUGACAUGAGCUGUAAGCAAAGUGUUACAGAUAUCAAACGUGUUUAACACAGAUGAGACCAAACUCUCUUACACUAUUCCAAAACAGCGGGGGCUGACCUUCUCCCAGCAGGGUCGCUACAAAACCUGCCAAACAUGUGUACUGACAAUUUGACUUGAACCAGUCUUGUUUGUUGGUUGGCGUUAAGCUGAAGCUUACUCCAGACCUACAUUAUAGGCAAUAGUGUGUUGUGUUGGUGGGAGUCUUGUUGUGUAUAUGCGUGUGCAUUUUCAUGUAAGUAUUUGUCAGUACCUACCGCUGUGUAGCCACAUAGUCAAUAUGUGUUUGAGUGCAUGCAAACACAUAGUGGCACUUUUUUUGCUGUGUCAUAGGCUCUGUGUGCAUUUGUGUUUACUUGUGCAUCAAUGUAGACAAAAAAGGACCCUGUCCAAUUAUUUCUGCAAAUUUGUAUAAGUAAUCAUACUGUGUGUGUGUGUGUGUGUGUGUGUGUGUGUGUGUGUGUGUGUGUGUGUGUGUGUGUUUUGUGUGUUGUGUUUGUAUGGAAGUGUGUUUAUACUGAUUACAACACUUUUAACAGGCCUGGACCUGUGCAAUCAGUGCAGAUUUUCUGUAUGACUCUGUGUGUAUGUGUGUGUAUGUGUGUGUGUGUGUGUGUGCAUGAGUCAGCGGCUGGAGGUGGGGUGUAGGUGCUGAGAGACAACUAAUCCUCGAGUACAGACAUAUGCCGGGCUGGAGCAUCGCCAAGGACAAAGUAAUGUUGCUGUUUUCCCAGACCUCAGCAAUUACUUUGACCACCUCAGCUCCUCUGUUCCUGAGCUACACGUCACAGAGAGAAGACCAGAUCACUGCGCUUCACCUGCUGUUCCCAGCAUUCCUUGCUUAGCUGCUGUAAUCCUGGGGGCUAUGGAUAAAAUAAACAC